GAUGAACGCUGGCGGCGUGCCUAAUACAUGCAAGUCGAGCGAACGGACGAGAAGCUUGCUUCUCUGAUGUUAGCGGCGGACGGGUGAGUAACACGUGGAUAACCUACCUAUAGACUGGGAUAACUUCGGGAAACCGGAGCUAAUACCGGAUAAUAUUAUGAACCGCAUGGUUCAAAAGUGAAAGACGGUCUUGCUGUCACUUAUAGAUGGAUCCGCGCUGCCUUAGCUAGUUGGUAAGGUAACGGCUUACCAAGGCAACGAUGCAUAGCCGACCUGAGAGGGUGAUCGGCCACACUGGAACUGAGACACGGUCCAGACUCCUACGGGAGGCAGCAGUAGGGAAUCUUCCGCAAUGGGCGAAAGCCUGACGGAGCAACGCCGCGUGAGUGAUGAAGGUCUUCGGAUCGUAAAACUCUGUUAUUAGGGAAGAACAUAUGUGUAAGUAACUGUGCACAUCUUGACGGUACCUAAUCAGAAAGCCACGGCUAACUACGUG
This 496-nucleotide ribosomal RNA is filed under the name uncultured bacterium. Its description in RNAcentral is "partial 16S ribosomal RNA". It matches the Rfam family "Bacterial small subunit ribosomal RNA", at positions 28 to 507 of the family's 1533-position model. The record is from RNAcentral.